This 1161-nucleotide long non-coding RNA is filed under the name Canis lupus familiaris (dog). RNAcentral's name for it is "lncRNA (ENSCAFG00845017436.1)". Lineage: Eukaryota; Metazoa; Chordata; Mammalia; Carnivora; Canidae. The record is from RNAcentral.
AUGCCGUGUGUUUCCAGGCUCCCGAGGUCACAGAGCAAGGUCACCUUCCAGGCACAGCCCUCGGGGGAGCCCGAGGCUCCUGAGCUCAGCACCGUGAAGCCCAGCACCCCUGCUCGGCGCCCGUGCUCUGGGUGCUGGGCCUCCCCUUGCCCACGUGCCCACCAGUGUGCGCCUGCAGACCCCAGCAGGGGUGCCCAGGGCCCUGUGGCUGUGAGAGCCGGGGAGGCCCAGGGCAGGACCCCAGCAUGUCCCUCGCAGCACGCCCUGAGCCCUGGCUUGCCAGUGAGGCCCUGCGCCCCCGAGACUCCAGCUCCUUCCUCAACGGAGCCCCCUGUUCAGGGGCAGCCUCCCCCCUGGGACCCUUUCCGGGACGGGAAGGAAGGGACGGGGAGCUCAGCCCUGGCCGCUGCCUGGCCUGCCCCAGGGCCUGGGCUGCUUCUGGGGGCCCCGCCAUGGCUGGCCGGCCGCUUUCCUCACCUUCCCGAGUGUCCUCUGCCUUCUCCGACCUCAGCUGCGUCCCCUCGGGGUCCCUGCCCCUCGUCAGCGGGCACGUCGCACAGCGAUGCAGCGUCUCCAGGGCCCCUGCUGACUUUGCUGGGAAGGGAAGUCCACCUGCAGACGGCAGGUGGUCACACUGGCACCUCCCUGCGCCCCACAGCCUGCGGCCUCUGGUCUCAUGUGUCCACCGGCUUCUUCUCCCACGGAGGGUGCGGCCAGGGCCGUGGGGGCCACAGCGAUUCCGAGGCCUCCUGCUCCGGGUCCCAGAGAUGCCACGCCGGGCGCUGGGGAGGGCUCCUGGCCGCGCUCACGCUCUCUCCUCUGCCGCCCUCUCCUGGCCCAGGGAGGCGAGGCCCCGGGGGCGCGGGCAGGAGGGAUGCAUCUGCUGGGUUCUCUGUGCCAUCGGCCGGUGUGGCAGGGACAGAGCAGCAAACUGUAAAAGACGACGUGACUUCGGCGUCCGAGCUAGGGAAUCCGAGGCUGUGGGGGGAGCAGGGCACCCGUGCAGGGCUGACGGAAGGUUCUGGAGCUUCCGGGACAGGCGGGGCCAGGAGAGACAAUGAGGAGGGUGUUGCCACCAGACUCAGUGCGCUGCUGUGGAGGAGCCCAGCCCACAGGCCCGUGGCCAAGGGUCAGGACUGCUCUGGGCGUCGCUGCGCCUGA